Molecule: transfer RNA, 75 nt
Filed under: Nanobdellota archaeon
Lineage: Archaea; Nanobdellati; Nanobdellota
Description: tRNA-Glu
Rfam family: tRNA
About the family: Transfer RNA (tRNA) molecules are approximately 80 nucleotides in length. Their secondary structure includes four short double-helical elements and three loops (D, anti-codon, and T loops).
Source: RNAcentral
CCUCCUUUGGUGUAGUCCGGCCAAUCAUUUCGGCCUUUCGAGCCGAGGACCUGGGUUCAAAUCCCGGAAGGAGGG